GACGAACGCUGGCGGCGUGCUUAACACAUGCAAGUCGAACGGUGAAGCGCCUUCCUUUUUGGUGGGUGUGGAUGAGUGGCGAACGGGUGAGUAACACGUGAGUAACCUGCCCCCUUCUUCUGGAUAACCGCAUGAAAGUGUGGCUAAUACGGGAUAUUCUGGGUCUGUCGCAUGAUGGGUCUGGGAAAGAUAUUGUUUCGGUGGGGGAUGGGCUCGCGGCCUAUCGGCUUGUUGGUGGGGUGAUGGCCUACCAAGGCGGUGACGGGUAGCCGGCCUGAGAGGGUGGACGGUCACACUGGGACUGAGACACGGCCCAGACUCCUACGGGAGGCAGCAGUGGGGAAUAUUGCACAAUGGGCGCAAGCCUGAUGCAGCGACGCCGCGUGAGGGAUGGAGGCCUUCGGGUUGUGAACCUCUUUCGCCAGUGAAGCAGGCCUGCCUCGUUUGUGGGUGGGUUGACGGUAGCUGGAUAAGAAGCGCCGGCUAACUACGUG
RNAcentral lists this ribosomal RNA (494 nucleotides) under uncultured bacterium. RNAcentral's name for it is "partial 16S ribosomal RNA". It matches the Rfam family "Bacterial small subunit ribosomal RNA", at positions 28 to 507 of the family's 1533-position model. The record is from RNAcentral.